CCUUUACCACCACCUCCUGCUACAUGAUGUUGGUGUACGGCUCUUUUUAAAGCAGAAGCACCUUUUAAAGCAGCAACACCAGUAGCAGCAGCACCAGCUGCACCAACGGCACCUAAACCAACUAGAGGUAAAAAUGUUAAAGACCUCCUAUUUCUUUUAUUUUCUGCCAUUUCUUUGGACAAAUCCGGAUGCUGAAGUAAAUUAUGUUCAUUUUCAUCAACAUUAAGAAUACCAGCAAUUACAUAACCAUCCAUAAAAUAAGCAUAAAAGACAAGAGGCACAACCAUCCAAGUAAAAACACCCAUCUUAUCUAAAAGCUUAAGCGAAGGUUAAACUACAAUAAUCUGAUUAUACAAUAAGGCAUGUAAGAAAUUGUGAAUUCAAGCUUUUAGAAUUCUGCCAUUUGAUUUUUUUUCCUUUUUUUUCUUUUUCUCGUUGCUUACCUUAUUAAGAAAUUAAAUAUUUAUAGAGAAAUAUUGACUUUAUAAAGAAAAUUAACAAAUGGUCGAGCUUUAAGCAUGGGAGUAAGAAAUCGUUUAACCAUUCAUUCAGUAAAAAGAACCCAUAUUGUAAAUUAUUCAACUUAUUAACGAAAUUUUUUCCCCUUCAUUUUCUCAACCAGCAAUUGAAUAAAUAGCAACUUUUUCCAUUAAAAACAUGAUUUCGAAUAAAAUCAUUUUUUUUUUGGAAUAAUGGUAUCUCCAUGCCCAUUAGCUACUCACAAAGAGUAAUCCAUUCAUAGUUCGUGAUUAUCACUCCCAACAAUUUUAUCUCCAAAAUUUGAAUCUAAAUUCUCUCCUUGAAAGUACCAUUAAAACCAAAUUUGAUACUAUCACAUUUAAAACCAAAUAUGAAAUAAUUAUAUCGAUUAAAUUACAUUUUUGUAUGUGUCAAACCAAAAUGACUAUGUCAAUUGCACUAUUAUUUCUUGUGUAAGAGAAAAGAAUUUAGGUAUGGGUGACAUACUGUUUAAGGAAAAAUUAAAUAAAAAGAAUUAGUAAUAAUUUCAACAAAUAAUAAUUCCAUGAUGAGCUAAAAAGUAGGAUUUUUUGAAAACAUAAUCUUUAGUUAUUUGAGUAAAAAAAACGUAUUGGACCAAAAUACAUUACAUAAGGAUAUUGAGGAUUAAUGUGGAACAAAUGGUGUUUGGAUUUUAUGCACAUAGAAGCCAAUCACUUGGAAGAUUAAUGUUUCACUAGGCAUUAUAAAUGCACAGACUCCCAUUUACACAUUUAAUAACAUUGAAUUUUAUUAGUAUAUGAAUCCUUUCAAUGCAAUUAAGCCUUUUUACUUUUCCUUUUCCUUUCCCUUUUCCUUCUAAGGUAUACAAAAAUCAAAUAAAAUGGUAUUACUAUACCAACAUUACAUAUUAACUUAUGUACCAAAAAUGAAUCAUGAGAAAUUAAACAGUAAGUAGUAGGCAAAAACCUCUUUUUUUUUUGGAAUACAAAGAAACUUUAAUUUUUUUUAUUGGUUUAACUAAAGUAAUUAAAUUUAAUAUACCAAGAAAAGUAAAAUAAGUAAAAAUUUAGGAUAUUUCUAUAAUCUAUCUCGAACUGUUUCUUAUCAUUUUUAUUAAGAAGUGAAUUUUUUACAUGUUAAGGGUGAGACCGAAAGGGUACUCCCAGUUAAGGGUGGUAAAUCACUCAAUUAAAGGUAAUUAGUGGCUUAAUUGAUAAUUAGGAAUUCAAUCGAUUCUAAGCUUGGAGCUCAUAUCGUUGAAACUAGGAGUAGGAAGGAAAUUGUGAUAGAUUAGUUUAGGUUAGUUAAUUUAAUUUGAUUUAUUGUUAUUCCAAUUUUGAACCAGCAGCACUACUAAUUUGUAACCCAAUUGUAAUUAUUUUUAGGUAAUUAAUUUAGUAAUAAUUUUCUCCAAUAUAAUAAUCUCUUAAGUACAAUACUCUUUCAAGCAUUUCGUUGUAGAUUAACGAUAUUACAAUUUGAUCUAUAUACUUGCAAAUAAUUUACUUCAUAUUCACAUAUUUAAUUGCAUAUUUACAAUCUUGGUGCACGACCAUGUUUUCCAACAAAAUACGUUGCUUUAUCCAUCCAGUCAUAAUCUUUCAUCCCUACAAACAUCCUUACAUGCUAUGUUUGCAGGUAGUACCAACAACUCGUCUUCAACUUACAACAGACUAAGUUGGGGGAUAACCCACACAAAAGGAUUCCAUUUCUUUUCGCAACAACGAGUAAAGUAGCUCACUAAUAUGGCCCAGUCCUUAGGUAAAAUUGUUUAAGGUUUAGACUAUCCAAAUUCAGCACUCAUAAAAGAAUGGCUGAAGUGGUAAGUGAAAACCUUCCCUAAAAAUUUGUCAAUAAAAGAACAAAUGAUUUUUUCAUCCCUCUUAGAACCCUACUACAGUCUCUACCUUUCACUCCAAAGUAUACAUAUCUACAGAAUGGGGGAAUAACACCAGCAGCAACUGAAGGAGAAUGACCCUAGUGGUACCCUUUCUCAUCACACUUUACAUUUUCAACUCAAGAAGAAAGAAACCAAGAAAAGAAGAAGCUACAAGGAAUGAAAAAAAUCACAGAAACAUUUCAAAACAUGAGAAAGGAGUGUCCAUGAAAGAGGUAUCUUCUAAAGAGAAAAUUGUAGUAAAAAGAAGAAAAUAUUUGCAAAUAAAAUUUAUAACUACAACACCACUAAACAUCCCAAACAUGUGGUGCCACUCUACAAUGAUCACUCUUCCCCUCAUUAUUGCACAUUAUCCCCAAGGCUAGUGUGUCAGUCACCAUUGAAAAGGUGCCAACUCUCACAAUACUCAAUAGCAACAUUUAUUAUUGGUCUUCUACAAGCCACUUCAAAUGGGGGACUAUUAUUUAUGCAAAACACUUCAUGGGCUCUAACACAGAGUAACAAGCACAAGCUCAAACCCAAAUAAGCAAAAACAACUCAUUAUGCAGACUAGUCAAAUGAUAAAAAGCCAACCAAGGGUAUAAAGGAAUUUCCCUAACAGAGUACAAAUGCAUCUUCACUAAGCAUCUUGUCCUUCUCCCACAUUCUUGGGAAAAACAGUUCAGAAAACAGUUUUAUUACAAAGUGGAAGUUUUUUUUUUCUAAAAUUGAGUAUUUGUGAUAUUUAUAGCAAUUAAUAUUUUACUCGAAAUAUUUAUUUUUUUCUAAAUAAGUGGAAUAAGUCAUAUAUAACAUGCAACAUUUCGAUCUUCCCCACUAAUCUCGACCUCGACUUGCUAGAGUUUCAAUCCAACAAUGUGUGAUCGAAAACUAAUAUUUUAAUUAUAAAAUUACUCCUACAAGGUGUACAUACAGUGUGCGGCGACAACCCCUUUCUAGAACUAAGCGUCACCCACUAUUAUAUAUUAGGCUUACUUGGAUCUCGUCAUGUAUUAGGUACAAUUAUAUUUGUUAUCUUAUCUUUAGAUCAACUCAUAAUUUAUCCAAUCC
Molecule: long non-coding RNA, 3409 nt
Filed under: Gossypium barbadense (sea-island cotton)
Lineage: Eukaryota; Viridiplantae; Streptophyta; Magnoliopsida; Malvales; Malvaceae
Description: long non-coding RNA (GBAR_LNC013912)
Source: RNAcentral